This 240-nucleotide long non-coding RNA is filed under the name Gallus gallus (chicken). Lineage: Eukaryota; Metazoa; Chordata; Aves; Galliformes; Phasianidae. The record is from RNAcentral.
GCAUUCGUGUUCUAUGUCACCUUGCUUUAAUUCUUCCAAAAAUUUGUUGGCCCUUCGGUAUCUUUUAUACACAGAAUUGGCUUUGUCCUCUGUUAAGAACACGCUGUCCAUGAUGAUCACUGUCAAGGCACAAAACUUGCAAAUAUCAAAUCGCUGCCGCCCGCCCGGCGGUCGCUGUGCGAGUAGCGGAGCACCGCCGGCCCCGCGCCGCCGCCGACCCGCACGCCGCUCCGCAACUCC